GCUUUGGCGGCUCCGGCCGCCAAAGGACCUCCAAACUCCAGUCAGUAAACGCAGACGUCUGAUAAACAAGUUAAUAAACUAAAACUUUCAACAACGGAUCUCUUGGUUCUGGCAUCGAUGAAGAACGCAGCGAAAUGCGAUAAGUAAUGUGAAUUGCAGAAUUCAGUGAAUCAUCGAAUCUUUGAACGCACAUUGCGCCCCUUGGUAUUCCGGGGGGCAUGCCUGUUCGAGCGUCAUUACAACCCUCAAGCUCUGCUUGGAAUUGGGCACCGUCCUCACUGCGGACGCGCCUCAAAGACCUCGGCGGUGGCUGUUCAGCCCUCAAGCGUAGUAGAAUACACCUCGCUUUGGAGUGGUUGGCGUCGCCCGCCGGACGAACCUUCUGAACUUUUCUCAAGGUUGACCUCGGAUCAGGUAGGGAUACCCGCUGAACUUAAGCAUAUCAAUAAGCGGAGGAAAAGAAACCAACAGGGAUUGCCUUAGUAACGGCGAGUGAAGCGGCAACAGCUCAAAUUUGAAAGCUGGCCCUUUUAGGGUCCGCGUUGUAAUUUGUAGAGGAUGAUUCGGCGAGGGCUCCUGCCUAAGUCCCCUGGAACGGGGCGUCAUAGAGGGUGAGAAUCCCGUAUGCGGUAGGUUGCCUUAGCCAUGUGAAUCUCCUUCGACGAGUCGAGUUGUUUGGGAAUGCAGCUCUAAAUGGGAGGUAAAUUUCUUCUAAAGCUAAAUACUGGCCAGAGACCGAUAGCGCACAAGUAGAGUGAUCGAAAGAUGAAAAGCACUUUGGAAAGAGAGUUAAAAAGUACGUGAAAUUGUUGAAAGGGAAGCGCUUGCAACCAGACUUGUCCGCAGUUGCUCAGCCGGUCUCCUGACCGGCGUACUCUUCUGCGGCCAGGCCAGCAUCAGUUCGGGCGGUCGGAUAAAGGCCUCGGGA
Molecule: ribosomal RNA, 928 nt
Filed under: fungal sp.
Lineage: Eukaryota; Fungi
Description: eukaryotic LSU rRNA
Rfam family: Eukaryotic large subunit ribosomal RNA (bases 401-928)
Source: RNAcentral